GAUGAAGACGUAGCGAAAUGCGAUAAGUAAUGUGAAUUGCAGAAUUCAGUGAAUCAUCGAAUCUUUGAACGCACAUUGCGCCCGCCAGUAUUCUGGCGGGCAUGCCUGUUCGAGCGUCAUUUCAACCAUCAAGCCCCAGGCUUGUGUUGGGGACCUGCGGCUGCCGCAGGCCCUGAAAACCAGUGGCGGGCUCGCUGUCACACCGGGCGUAGUAGAUUUUAUCUCGCUCAGGGCGUGCUGCGGGUUCCGGCCGUUAAAAAGCCUUUUUUACCCAAGGUUGACCUCGGAUCAGGUAGGAAGACCCGCUGAACUUAAGCAUAUCAAUAAGCGGAGGA
This 335-nucleotide unclassified non-coding RNA is filed under the name soil metagenome. Its description in RNAcentral is "partial contains 5.8S ribosomal RNA, internal transcribed spacer 2, and large subunit ribosomal RNA". The stretch from base 1 to 119 matches the Rfam family "5.8S ribosomal RNA", at positions 35 to 154 of the family's 154-position model. The record is from RNAcentral.